This 75-nucleotide transfer RNA is filed under the name Candidatus Helarchaeota archaeon. RNAcentral describes it as "tRNA-Cys". It matches the Rfam family "tRNA". From Rfam's summary of the family: Transfer RNA (tRNA) molecules are approximately 80 nucleotides in length. Their secondary structure includes four short double-helical elements and three loops (D, anti-codon, and T loops). Further hydrogen bonds mediate the characteristic L-shaped molecular structure. tRNAs have two regions of fundamental functional importance: the anti-codon, which is responsible for specific mRNA codon recognition, and the 3' end, to which the tRNAs corresponding amino acid is attached (by aminoacyl-tRNA synthetases). tRNAs cope with the degeneracy of the genetic code in two manners: having more than one tRNA (with a specific anti-codon) for a particular amino acid; and 'wobble' base-pairing, i.e. permitting non-standard base-pairing at the 3rd anti-codon position. Lineage: Archaea; Promethearchaeati; Candidatus Helarchaeota. The record is from RNAcentral.
GCCGAGAUAGCUUAGGGGCGAAGCGGCGGACUGCAGAUCCGCUACACGGGGGUUCAAAUCCCUCUCUCGGCUCCA